This 218-nucleotide long non-coding RNA is filed under the name Actinidia chinensis (golden kiwifruit). RNAcentral's name for it is "long non-coding RNA (ACHI_LNC008017)". The record is from RNAcentral. Lineage: Eukaryota; Viridiplantae; Streptophyta; Magnoliopsida; Ericales; Actinidiaceae.
AUCCAAUCUAUGACAUACCCAAUACAGAUAUCAUCAUCCAGAGAUCAUAUCUACGCAGAUUCAAUCUCAAAGAAGUCUUUCAAUCUAAUCAAAUCAACAUCUAAAAUAGGCUAAAACCCUAAACCUAAAGAAAUAGAAAUACUUACGAGAUUGAAAUAGAUUAACUGAAGAAUACCUAUAUAGAGAGGACUCUGAAUCGGUAUCAGAGAGCUUCAAGA